Molecule: ribosomal RNA, 401 nt
Filed under: uncultured bacterium
Lineage: Bacteria
Description: bacterial SSU rRNA
Rfam family: Bacterial small subunit ribosomal RNA
Source: RNAcentral
GGAAUAUUGGGCAAUGGGCGCAAGCCUGACCCAGCAACGCCGCGUAAAGGAAGAAGGCCCUCGGGUUGUAAACUUCUUUUAACAGGGACGAAGAAAGUGACGGUACCUGUUGAAUAAUCCACGGCUAACUACGUGCCGGCAGCCGCGGUAAUACGUCGGUGGCAAGCGUUAUCCGGAUUUACUGGGUGUAAAGGGCGCGUAGGCGGGAGAGCAAGUCAGACGUGAAAUUCCAGGGCUCAACCCUGGAACUGCGUUUGAAACUGUGCUUCUUGAGUGAUGGAGAGGCAGGCGGAAUUCCGUGUGUAGCGGUGAAAUGCGUAGAUAUACGGAGGAACACCAGUGGCGAAGGCGGCCUGCUGGACAUUAACUGACGCUGAGGCGCGAAAGCGUGGGGAGCAAAC